UACGAGGGGGGCGAGCGUUGUUCGGAAUUAUUGGGCGUAAAGGGUGCGUAGGCGGUUCCGCAAGUCCUGUGUGAAAUCUUCGGGCUCAACUCGAAGUCUGCACGGGAAACUGCGGGGCUUGAGUGUGGGAGAGGUGAGUGGAAUUCCCGGUGUAGCGGUGAAAUGCGUAGAUAUUGGGAAGAACACCGGUGGCGAAGGCGGCGACCUGGUCCUUGACUGACGCUGAGGCGCGAAAGCGUGGGGAGCAAACAGG
RNAcentral lists this ribosomal RNA (253 nucleotides) under uncultured bacterium. RNAcentral's name for it is "partial 16S ribosomal RNA". It matches the Rfam family "Bacterial small subunit ribosomal RNA", at positions 524 to 776 of the family's 1533-position model. The record is from RNAcentral.